UGGAAUGAAAGGGUAAACUGGAAUGAAUUUUUUCAGGAUAAAAAAAUGAAGUUGACUUUUUAGUAAGAAGGCUAAAAUUUAUCUUAAAGACAAGAAGACCUAAAACUUUAUAUUUAUUCCUUUUAGGGAAGAAAAUAAAUAUUUUGCUGGGGUGGCAGGAAAAAAAAACUUUUCUUAUUUUGAGAGGUUUAAUAAACCUUAAUAUAAAUUUAAAGAAGAAUAAGUUACUGGGAUAACAGCUUAAUUCACUUAAAGUCAUUGACAAGUGAGUUGACCUCGAUGUUGAAAAAGUCCUCUUUGGCGCAAA
Molecule: ribosomal RNA, 307 nt
Filed under: Olivierus caucasicus
Lineage: Eukaryota; Metazoa; Arthropoda; Arachnida; Scorpiones; Buthidae
Description: Mesobuthus caucasicus partial 16S ribosomal RNA
Source: RNAcentral